GGCACAGUGGCGGAGUGGUCUAACGCGUGUGACUCGAACCACUAUCUAGACUAAUGAUCUAUGAUAGCAACUGUGUCAAUCACAUCUCUUCGGAGGCGCCUGUUCGAAUCAGGCCUGUGUCG
Hypoxylon sp. FL0890 is the source of this 122-nucleotide non-coding RNA. The record is from the annotation of a GenBank genome assembly. NCBI's taxonomy places the organism in Eukaryota, Fungi, Ascomycota, Sordariomycetes, Xylariales, Hypoxylaceae.